CCUACGGGUGGCAGCAGUGAGGAAUAUUGGUCAAUGGACGAGAGUCUGAACCAGCCAAGUAGCGUGAAGGAUGACUGCCCUAUGGGUUGUAAACUUCUUUUAUAUGGGAAUAAAACGUUCCACGUGUGGGAUUUUGUAUGUACCAUAUGAAUACGGAUCGGCUAACUCCGUGCCAGCAGCCGCGGUAAUACGGAGGAUCCGAGCGUUAUCCGGAUUUAUUGGGUUUAAAGGGAGCGUAGGUGGAUUGUUAAGUCAGUUGUGAAAGUUUGCGGCUCAACCGUAAAAUUGCAGUUGAAACUGGCAGUCUUGAGUACAGGAGAGGUGGGCGGAAUUCGUGGUGUAGCGGUGAAAUGCUUAGAGAUCACGAAGAACACCGAUUGCGAAGGCAGUUCACUGGACUGCAACUGACACUGAGGCUCGAAAGUGUGGGUAUCAAACAGGAUUAGAUACCCCAGUAGUC
RNAcentral lists this ribosomal RNA (460 nucleotides) under uncultured bacterium. RNAcentral's name for it is "partial 16S ribosomal RNA". It matches the Rfam family "Bacterial small subunit ribosomal RNA", at positions 338 to 795 of the family's 1533-position model. The record is from RNAcentral.